UUAAGCAUAUCAAUAAGCGGAGGAAAAGAAACCAACAGGGAUUGCCCCAGUAACGGCGAGUGAAGCGGCAACAGCUCAAAUUUGAAAUCUGGCUCUCGGGCCCGAAUUGUAAUUUGUAGAGGAUGCUUUUGGCAAGGUUCCUUCUGAGUUCCCUGGAACGGGACGCCGGAGAGGGUGAGAGCCCCGUACGGUCGGAUACCACGCCUCUGUAAAGCUCCUUCGACGAGUCGAGUAGUUUGGGAAUGCUGCUCAAAAUGGGAGGUAAAUUUCUUCUAAAGCUAAAUACCGGCCAGAGACCGAUAGCGCACAAGUAGAGUGAUCGAAAGAUGAAAAGCACUUUGAAAAGAGGGUUAAAUAGCACGUGAAAUUGUUGAAAGGGAAGCGCUUGUGACCAGACUUGCGCCUGGUAAAUCAUCUAGCGUUCUCGCUAGUGCACUUUGCCGGCUCAGGCCAGCAUCAGUUUGCCGUCGGGGACAAAAGCUUUAGGAACGUAGCUCUCUUCGGGGAGUGUUAUAGCCUGUUGCAUAAUACCCUUCGGUGGACUGAGGUUCGCGCUCCGCAAGGAUGCUGGCAUAAUGGUCAUCAGCGACCCGUCUUGAAACACGGACCAAGGAGUCAACCUUAUGUGCGAGUGUUUGGGUGUUAAACCCCUACGCGUAAUGAAAGUGAACGCAGGUGAGAGCUUCGGCGCAUCAUCGACCGAUCCUGAUGUUCUCGGAUGGAUUUGAGUAAGAGCAUAUAGGGUUGGACCCGAAAGAAGGUGAACUAUGCGUGUAUAGGGUGAAGCCAGAGGAAACUCUGGUGGAGGCUCGCAGCGGUUCUGACGUGCAAAUCGAUCGUCAAAUAUGCGCAUGGGGGCGAAAGACUAAUCGAACCUUCUAGUAGCUGGUUUCCGCCGAAGUU
This 903-nucleotide ribosomal RNA is filed under the name Reticulascus clavatus. RNAcentral's name for it is "partial 28S ribosomal RNA". It matches the Rfam family "Eukaryotic large subunit ribosomal RNA", at positions 34 to 968 of the family's 3401-position model. The record is from RNAcentral. Lineage: Eukaryota; Fungi; Ascomycota; Sordariomycetes; Glomerellales; Reticulascaceae.